UCCGCACCGAGAGAGGCGCCCGGCGUCAGCGGACCUCCAUGUACGACAAUUUGUACCUGCAUGGAUUUGAAGACUCGGAGGCGGGCUCAGCAGAUUCGUACACAAGCAGACCCUCAGACUCUGAUGUCUCUUUGGAAGAAGAUAGGGAAGCAAUCCGCCAAGAAAGAGAACAACAAGCAGCUAUCCAACUUGAAAGGGCAAAGUCCAAACCAGUAGCAUUUGCUGUUAAGACUAAUGUGAGUUACUGUGGAGCUCUGGAUGAAGAUGUUCCUGUCCCGAGCACUGCCAUCUCUUUUGAUGCCAAGGACUUCCUACACAUUAAAGAGAAAUAUAAUAAUGACUGGUGGAUAGGAAGGCUGGUGAAGGAGGGCUGCGAGAUUGGCUUUAUUCCAAGCCCGCUUAGACUGGAGAAUAUCCGCAUUCAACAGGAGCAGAAGAGAGGACGUUUCCAUGGAGGGAAAUCAAGUGGAAAUUCUUCUUCAAGUCUUGGAGAAAUGGUUUCUGGCACAUUUCGAGCCACACCGACUUCCACGGCAAAACAGAAACAGAAAGUGACAGAACACGUUCCCCCAUAUGAUGUGGUACCGUCAAUGAGACCUGUUGUCUUGGUGGGUCCGUCACUGAAAGGCUAUGAGGUGACAGACAUGAUGCAGAAAGCUCUCUUUGACUUCCUGAAGCACAGGUUUGAUGGGAGGAUAUCAAUAACUAGAGUGACAGCUGACAUUUCUCUUGCUAAGAGGUCUGUUCUAAAUAAUCCAAGCAAGAGGGCAAUAAUUGAGCGGUCAAACACAAGAUCCAGUUUAGCUGAAGUACAGAGUGAAAUUGAGAGAAUCUUUGAGCUGGCAAGGUCCUUACAACUGGUUGUCCUAGAUGCAGACACUAUCAAUCACCCUGCACAACUUAUCAAGACAUCUUUAGCACCAAUUAUUGUCCAUGUUAAAGUGUCUUCUCCAAAGGUUUUGCAGCGACUGAUUAAAUCUAGAGGAAAGUCACAAAGUAAACACUUGAAUGUUCAGUUGGUGGCAGCUGAUAAACUUGCACAAUGCCCACCAGAAAUGUUUGAUGUCAUUUUGGAUGAGAAUCAGCUUGAAGACGCUUGCGAGCACUUGGCAGAAUAUCUCGAGGCCUACUGGCGUGCUACUCACACCACCAGUAGCACACCCAUGACUCCUCUCCUUGGGCGAAAUUUAGGAUCCACUGCACUUUCACCAUAUCCUGCUGCAAUCUCUGGAUUACAGGGAUAGCUCAAAAACGGCUGAACUUUGAAACUUCAAACGUGGCAUGUAAAUAGUCCUUAAUGAGAAGUACGUGCUUUACUAAGUUUGAAAACAGAAAAAAAUGUUUUUGAUUCAUAGUUAUGAAUGCUUGAGAAGAUCAGGAUUGCAGCGAACUUUUAAGUCUGAAAGUCAGAAGGAGUUCUGUAUGUGUGUGACUUAGGAGUGUGCACUUUCUAAUGUAUGUCAAAAGUAGAGUUGAGCAAAUUACAUUUAAUGAAUAAUUCACCUGACAAAUUUAACCUCUGUUCUGCUUGUAGACUAUCUGGAAGCAGGUAACAAUUUUGAAGGAAAUGAUGCAUUGCUCGGUGUUUUCAAUUAACGUAAAGCUGUUUUUUCUGUGAGAGAAUUGCACUUCACUGAGGGUGCAUGAGACUCGAGACUCACGUUUCUAAUGCUGUGCUUGAUUUUACUAGGAUCAGUAAGUCACUGUUUCCUGACUGGCUGAAUGCACAAGCACUGUUCUUUUACUAAUAACAUGCACAUGUAAACUGUUGUUUCCAUUUUCACUUGCCUUAAAAUUUCAGUUCUCCAUCCCUUCAUGACAAUAAAAUACCAUCUGCAGAACUUUCACCUCUUCGGUUUCAUUUUGAAAACUGGGUGUAUCCACAGAAUUUUUUUCAGGCAUUUAUUUCUCUCUGAUCAAUGGACACCAGCAGUAACUGUGAAAUGUUGCUCCAUUUACUUAGGGAAAACUCACACUGAAGAUGAAAAUCACCCCUGUGCAGUGGGCUGGCUGAAGAGCCAGCGUAUGAGGCACAGCAGCCAUUCUACAGAGAACUCUCCAAUUGAGCGACGAAGUCUAAUGACCUCAGAUGAAAAUUAUCACAAUGAAAGGGCUCGGAAGAGCAGGAACCGCUUGUCUUCCAGUUCCCAACACAGCCGAGAUCACUAUCCUCUAGUGGAAGAAGAAUACUCUGACUCAUACCAGGACACUUACAAACCCCAUAGGAACCGAGGAUCCCCUGGAGGAUAUAGCCAUGACUCACGACAUAGGCUUUGAGUUCAAGAACCUGGGGAAAAAUAGGAUUCAUCAGUUGAUAACUUGCCAUAACGUAGCUAGGAAAAAAACAAAAAUCAUCUUAAUUUGGCAGAUGUAACGCAGUGAUACUGAAGUUGCACUCUGCUGUCAUUUGAUGUUAAGUAGGGGGCAAAAAAAAGUUACCAUGCCCUUACGUUUAUGCCCAAUCAUAUAGGUUGUGUUUUGGAUUUUUUUCUUUUUAGUACAGCAUUUGCAUUUAUAACCAUACUUUUUCUUGUCAUUAGGUAUCAGACACAUCCGUUUGUAAUUUAGGGUACUUAUCAAGGCACUUAUAAAAUAAUUUCCUGUGCUGGAAAUUCCAAAUGACCAGUUCCAGUUGGAACCACUUUAUAAACCAAUUCCUGUUGGAAUUUGGGUGAAUUGACUGGAAAGUCGACUUGAGCAUGUUGCAAUCAAUUGAAAAAAAAAAUACAAAUGAAAAAUCUGAAAAUUACAAACCACUAGAAGCCAGAAAGUCAGCUACAGUAUUUGUUUGCUGGAAGCUCAAUUUACAUUUAAAGUUAGAAUAAAAGGAUUUAUUCUAACUAUUUAUUUCCAGAAUGGCUUUUUCAGACAAACCAAAUGUAAACUAUCGAGAGUGCCAAAUAUCACAAAUUAUUGCAGCAGUUACAAAAUACUUUCCAGUUUGAAAUUAUUUUUAGACCUGGCAUGAAUGUUGCAGCAAAAUGAUUUCUUUAGUUUAGCCAGUACUGACAUUUUUGUUGCGGUCAGCAAUGAUGAACUAUGACAGGAUAAGGGGAGAGAAAAACAGGAAAAUGAACAAACUUAAGAACAGUUUGUAUGGCUAGAGGUUGGGGAUAGUCUCUUUUUUUUUUUUUUCUCUCUGAAUACAGCUAGUAGUCCCAAAAUGGAACAUCAGUGUAUAGAUACGUAAUAUUUUUUCUCCCAUUUUUAGUAUUCUGCCUUUUUAAAUGGAAAACAAUACACUCUUACCCAGUGGGUAGGACACCUUCAUUCCCGUACAUCUGAGUACCUACUGGUAUGUUCCAUCUUUUAAAAUCCAUCUUUGAAUGUCUGAAAAUUCCAGCUUCGCACAAGAACUCUCCAGAAGAUCAGUUGAAAUUUCAGUAAUGAAAUCUGAGGGGAGGGAGCGGGGUUAAGUAUUUGUAAAUGAUCAACAUUUAAAAUCACAUAUGGGUCAGAAUUAGCUUGCAAUAAAAAUGGAGUAUCAGAAAAAAAAACCUCUGCUCACAGUGAAGUUGUGGAGCUGAGAUUUCUGAUUCAGAGAACUAUGAUAAAUCUUCGGAGAAACUGCUGCCUUACUUCCUAACAAUCACUUCCUUACACCUACUGAGUCUUCAGUUUCUUUAACUAGAUAAAUUUAUGUGAUCGGACCUUAUGUCUUACAUGAUCAGUGAAGCCUUAGAUCUAAUGUGAUUGAAAAAUUUCCCAUAAUUGACCGCUUUGUACAGCCCAUAAUGUCUUGAAGCAGAGACUCCUGAAUUUCCCCACUGCAUGCGUUUUCUAAAAUUGACAGAACUAUGCUGAACACGUGUUUUUUUAUGCAGGUUCAUGUCAAAACUAUUUUUUCAAAGAUUAGGAUCGUUAACUUUUAUAUUUGCUUAUUUUCUUCCCUGAGCCUGCUAAAAGUAGGCGUUAAAAGCAUGUAGCACUAAAUGAAUUUCCUGAAUAUUAUGGUUUCUUCUUCUUUCUGGACCAGUUAGCAAAGAUCACUGGUAUUUUCCACCACCGUUGAGUCUGGUUAUCUUCUUGAUGUUAACAACAAGAAAAGUAAUUCAUCUCAUAUCUGGUACAACCAAAAACGAUGUACGUCUCUCGCAGCAUUAAAAGAUUGCGAAUGCAUGAUUAAUUUUGUAAACAGCUUCGCUGCCUACAAGGCAGGCUUCGACACCACUAGAUGAUUCGGAUGGGCCAGUUACUAAGAAAAAAAGCAAAUUAUCAGCAUCCAUUGGAGUAACAGAGUUAAUGAUAUGACAGACCUGAUCCUGUCUGACUUUCUCAGGCUGAACGCCUGCAGAUUCCAAAAGAGCAUUUAGGCUGAGCGAGCACGGCAAGAUCUGGUCUGGGAGCGGUGGCUUCAGCUGCCUUCUCUCAUGUUUUCUGCUAUAGCACAGUGGAGCAUUCUCCAGGAAUUUUUACAAACCUUUGUUACGUGUACAGCACACAUACCUGCAUGAGAAAGAAGGCGUUAGGCAAAACGUUUUUUCUAUAAGCUUUAAUAAGUUUCUUGUUUGUGUGCAUUAAAGUAUUAAUUGCAAAGGAUGCACCGAGAUGUAUAAACCUAGAUUAGACAGCUGUUUAUCUUUAUUCUGUAGUAGCAUUAGGGAUCAGAUCAUUUAACUGCUUGAAGAUAUUUGCAUCUUAAUGGCAGGUAGCUGCGAAGCACCUACAUAUAUUUUCUAGUAAACAAGGUUACUGCUUUAUCAUCUCCUAGACGAAAAUGCCAUUUAUUUCUAGAGCCUUUUGGAGCCUUGUUUUGAAGUCUUCCAUGUCAUGCUAGUGAACGGAAGGAUCUACACACCACACGUGCACAAAUUCCAUCACCUGCCGCAUCUGAAGUGCCAAAACUACUUUCUUUGUUCUAAUAAAAACAAGCUUGUGAGGGAAGUCCUGUAUUGUCUUGAAAGAACCCAUUGAGUUCCUUUAUUAUGUGGGUUUAAGUUUACUUUCCUGCAUAAUUAGUUUACCCUUUCCUCUCUCACUGCCCAUUCCAUUUUCAUGUAAGGAACCAGUUAUAAGUGAUCCAGCAGAUCUCCUUGCUUGCUGGUUUUUUAUUCUUUGAAGAUAGAUCUAUCUUUAAGUACAGAUAUACCGAACGUGCUAAUAGAUGAUUAAUUUAUUCUAGAUACAAGCUAUGGGAAGUCUUUAUUUUAAAAAGUAAAUUAUUUUUAGGAAACACAGUAAUCUGCGUUGUCAAUCAGGACAUGUUAACUCAUAGUAUUUGUAUUAGAACUUCAGCACUGCUAGCCAGCUGUAUUGUGAUUUAUUAUGCAAUGGCGUUAUAUAAAAUUGUGAAGUUCAUGUAUUCCUGAAUGAAUACGAGUAAGAUGAAUUUCCCAGUCCUCGCACCAUUUCUUCUUGUUAUUAAAAUAUUAUUAAAGAUCAGAGUUUUGUUCCUAAGCUCUGGCUUAUUCAGAGGAGUUUAGAAAUGUUUAUAAAACAUUGAUAUUUUUUUUAAGUGGGUUUUUUUGUUGUUAUCUGAGUUUUUCAUGAGGACACUUACGGAUUAAUGACAAUUUAGCCAAUAAAGGUGAUAAGAACGAUCUCAAUAUCUAAAGACAAUAUAUGUCAGUGCAUUCAUAUGUUUGUGAGUGAAUUAACAAAGUAUUUUAAAAAUCUUCAAGCCACUUUAAUGAAAAUUGUUACAUUUCAAUCUCAAAUACUUUGGCAAGUUGUAUUUAACAGAUGUACCAGUUCCACAGAUGAAUAUUUAUCCCAUGGGAUGUGCAACUCACAACUGGUGAUGUUUUCUGAGUUACAUUCUGAAAUUAUGUUUAAAGGAAUGCAACUAAAGCUGUUCCACAGCCAGUUUUUUUUAGCUGCUCUUUAUGAAAUUUUAGCUCAUAAACAAUGGGCCAAAUUAGAUGGUCAUUUUCUAAGUCAGCCUGGUGAAAAUCAGUUCCUCUGCUUGAGAAUGGAUAGUGCAGUACGGCCCGACACCUCAAUUUUACCAUCUUGCCACAGAAAUCGGGUGCCCCCCCCGUUUUGUCCUUGAGCAAAGCAGCUUCCAAAGGCAGCGCCGUCACCUCUUGCUACUCGCAGUGUCCCUCGCUGCUCCCCCAGCUGUGUCCUUCUGACUGAGCUGGGACGGGCCCCGGUGCCGUAAGCGCGCGGGGGAUCGGAGGCGGCGCUGGGACGGGUUUGCCCCAAAUAGAAAAACACUUUGUGGGGUUUUUCUUCAGGUUUGAAAGCUGCUUCUGAAGUUGACGUCAGGGGGUUUCAUCUUUUGUGCUCCUUGCUUUUAAAACAAAGUUUUAUAUGUACUUAAGAGAGUGAAAAUUACAAAAAGGAGGCAAGGUAGCUGUAGGAGUAACAAGAUGGUGGUAGUUCCUCUGGAUGUGCGUAGGCCCAUAACUUCAAGUUCAGUUUGACUGCAAAUCUCCUGAAUUCACUUCAGUCUUAGUACCGUAGACUUCUCUGAAACAUCCCAAGAUCUCCUACCUUUACUGACAUUACCAUUCUUAAAGUAAUAUUGCUAAUCCUGUCACUGAUUUGGGUGAGUUAGGGCUUUCAUUAGUCAUUUUUUUCUUCAAGAACAUAUUAAAUGUAUCCUCUGCUAGAUUUUGUUUUCCAAGUUCUGUGCUUCUGAAGCCUCUCCUUGAUGCCAAGGUCUUAUUAUUUUUGCUUAAAAAAAAAAUAAUUCAGAUGCCACAAAAGAAAAAAAAAAAUCAAAUGCGUAUUUUGUAAAAUGCCAUUUAUACAAAACUGUUUUCACUCCUAAAAAUGUGUAUUUUAAAAUUGGUUGGUAUAUACCCCAGUUGGUAUUAAUCCAGGUUUGGAUAGUUGGGGUUCUGCUGUCAUGUUUUAUUGCAGUUACUCCUCGUUCCUUCAAAUAGUAGUUUGACAGAGAGUAACAUGACUGCAAGAUAUUGUAACGUAGCCAGUUUUAACUCUGGGGGAAUUAAGUUCCCACUAUCUUUAAAAUGAUGCCAAAAGAGGUGUUAUUUGAAGAGUCAUCGUUUGCAUAACCUUUGUUAGAUUGUUACUCAAAUCUGAUUUAUUUUAUAUAGAAAAAUAAAGGCACGUCUUUAAAAAGAGACAUUUUAAUAAUGUUGUAAAAUAUAUGCAAGGAAUUAACUUGGAGAAAGAGCUGAAAAUGCUACUUAGUAUUGAAAUUUGUGUUAAGAUCUCUUUCAUUCUUUGUGGAAUCCGUUUAAGAAGUCAAGAGAAAUAUCGUACAAUUAAAUCCUCGUAGAGAAUCUGGGGAGAAGGUAGAAAUCACUUUAAACUGCUCGUGAGAGCGUGUCAUUCCGUGAGUCCUCUGAAGGUGGUGACACCGGGAGCAGCUUCGCCUUGGUCUCAGUGCUGCUCAGUAGACUCCCCUUUUCCCCUCACGUUUCUUGGCAGUGAGUUACUACCUGGACUAGAUCCUACAGACACCUACUCCUGGGCACAGCGUUUAUUCUUGCCUUCUCCAAAAGGCAGUAGCCGUGAGGUCUGACCAGAAACGUCACACCCUGAUUAUCAUAUGCCUUAUCAAUACGUCCUGAAAAAUAAAAUGUAAUUAAAUUUAAUGCCACAACCCCCUUUGAUAUUCCUUCUACUCUGUAUAAGCAGUAAAAAAUCACUAUAGUGAGAAAAUAUAUUGUACAGUACAGAAUAAUAUAUUUUGCCAAUGAUGUAAAAACAGAGCAAGGAAGAAGAAGCACAUUUGUAAUAGCACAAAUUUACAGUGAUUCCACGAUGGCAUUUGGCAUUGUAUUUUUGAAAACAAACAAAGGGUAGAUUUUUUGAUCCCGCAUCAGUGGAUUUAUUGCAUUUUCGAUCAGUUUAACUUGCUGAUACUUCAGUUUAUUUCUAAGCUUUGCAUUUUGCCUAUGUGAUUGGUUUUUUUCACUAUCUUGUAUUCCUUCCAUAUUAAUUAAUGAAAACAAAAAGAACCUUUCAAAAUGAGAAAGUCCGCUGCGUUCAUUUCUGCUAAUUUCCUCUUCAAACCUGAAAUUACAUUAAUAACUUCUAAUUUUGGCCAAUAUAUACAUUUUGGCGUACGACUGAUGACUACAUCGUGAAAACACCAGUAGCCCAAGGUCAGGAAUGAAAUACUCCUGGUUAGUAAGUUCUUAGGGGUACGGAGCUCCUUGCUGUCGUGUGUGGGGACGGGGAGGUGAGGAGAGAAGGACGUGACACCCCAAACUUCCACCGAUGCUGCUGGGAAUUUACAGCGUGAAGGGAAGUCAGCUUAAGGAACGUGGGCUGAUUAGGCCCAAGGUGUAUUUAUGUUUGAAACCCACCCGGUUCUUUUCUGUGCAGAGAAAGUCGGGGAGAGGUUGUACAAGAACAGCAUAGGAAGAGAAUCAAGCAAAAUGCAAAUGUUACGUAUGCGUGAGAAAUAGAGGGGAGAAGAAAGAAGAUGAAAACGGUCAUUCAAACUGCAAACUAUGGACCUUGGGCUUCUCAGAUCCCUGAAAAACUCUGUUUCUCACCCAAACUGGUUCCCAGUGAUAGCCUGGCAGUGUUACCCCCAGCCUCACUGGGAGCCAGUUCAGAAUCACGCUGGUAAAGACAUUACUGCCUUUACUAAAAAAAAA
Molecule: RNA transcript, 8525 nt
Organism: Athene cunicularia (burrowing owl)
Lineage: Eukaryota; Metazoa; Chordata; Aves; Strigiformes; Strigidae
Gene: CACNB4
Gene name: calcium voltage-gated channel auxiliary subunit beta 4
Exons: 14
Source: RefSeq, a predicted model, not a curated record